Molecule: long non-coding RNA, 1759 nt
Organism: Pan troglodytes (chimpanzee)
Lineage: Eukaryota; Metazoa; Chordata; Mammalia; Primates; Hominidae
Exons: 4
Source: RefSeq, a predicted model, not a curated record
AGCAGCACGGGUCCCGGUCCCGCCCCGAACCCCCUUACCUGGCGCAGAGGCCGGUCAGUGCGGUGCGGUCAGGCCCCGUGGGCUGGGACCUAAGCCCUUGACCCUAAGGCGAUCGGGGCUCCCCGCGCGGCCCCUCCGGGGGACGGGAUUAACGCCUAAGCCCCAAGCCAGUCUGCAAGUGCUUGGUACAUACACAGAUGGUAUUUAUUUGCUGUUUGUCUUAAAUUGCAUUCUUAUGCAUCAUAGAGAGUGCGAUAAGGAGAAGAAAAAAUAUUUUCUACAGGACCAUCCAAACAUCUAUUAUGAGAAAUACCACUGCGAUGAGUCUUCACAUACAAGUGUCUAUGUGGACACAUAUUUUCAUUUCUUGGGGAUAUGCCUCAGAGUGGACUUGCUGGGACUUAUGGACGCUCUGUGUUCAGCAUUUUGAGGCAUUGCCCGGCCGUUUUCUAAAGCAGGUGCACCAUUUGACAGUCCCACCAGCAGCAUGAGAGAGUUCCAGUGUCUCCACAUCCUCGUCAACACUCACUACCUGACUUUUUGGGUCUAGCUCUCCAGGCCAGGAAGCUGAACCAAAUCCACCUCCCUCAGGUGUGCCCGCGGGACCUGUGUGUGUGCAAGUUUCUAUCUUCCAGAAGGUUCCAGUGUCUGCCAUGGCUCUUGGCCUGCCAGGAAGUAUCCUUCUUACUACUUGUGAGGCUGAGGCUUUGUGUGCCAGAGUACAGGUGCCCGGCCAGUAUGGGUCUGAGGGUUGUGUGGGCAUUGGUUCAGCACACAAGCCACAACCCUUGUUCCUUAAAGGUGGGCGUGUUGUGGAAGCACAGGAAAGUUAUUCUCAAAUAUGACACCCAUGUAAGGCCUGGGCUCCACUAUUAAUUGUCUGAUUAUAUCCUGGUGACAAGGAGGACAAAUUUCUACUGCAACAAUGCAAAUUACUACAUUUUUAUUAAAAGUAAAUGUCAGUAAAACUAUUUUUCCUGAAUUCUGAAGUGAGAAAAACACCAUUUAAAGAACGUUUUAAUGUUUGUGAAAGGAUAGUCUCCUAAAGUAGAUUGUUGCAGACACCGGGUAAAAAUAAAAAUUAAAUAAAUUAAAGGUGAGAUAGAUCAAAGAAGAAGGGUUUUGUCUUAUUCCUGCCAGAAACAGAAUAUCAGAAACAACAUGAACAUCCUCCUCCUUGCCUUUUCUUGGGCUGUGCUUUCAGCCUGCAGGUAUAACCGUUCUGGAGAGCAGUGAUGCCCCCAGAACCGCGUUUUUGGCUGGUGCAAAAUGGGGGGCAGUGGUUGUGUCUGGGGCCAAGUUUCUGUCCUGUAUAGCCUAGAGAUGGUUAUGUAGCAGGGGACUGAGCUACUAAGUGAAGGCAUAGAUAGUUAUGUAGAAACAGAGAAGGGUAGAAUCAACUCCAUGCUAGAUUGUAACUGGAGGUACAGGUAUCAGUAUGAACUCAAGGUUUGCUAAGAGGUAUCAGAAAAGAUAUGGCUGUGUGUGUGUGUGUGUGUGUGUGUAUGUGUGUUUGUACAUACUUACUUAUUUCCUAGCUCUGUCUGCUGAGUGUAAAUGGAAUCAUAUUCUGUAAUCUUUUGAGAUUUCUUUCUUCCAUUUAAAAUUAUGUGUUUGAGAUUUGGCCGUGUUGGUGGUGGAAUUCAUUCAUUUCUGUUGCUGUGUGCUAUUCCAUUGCGUGGAUACACCUCACUUUGUCCAUUUUACCGUCCUUUGAUAUGUAAGAUUUCUCCCAGUAUUUGCUAUUAAAAACAGCGUU